CUUGCUACUUUGCCGGCGAGCGGCGGACGGGUGAGUAAUGUCUGGGGAUCUGCCUGAUGGAGGGGGAUAACUACUGGAAACGGUAGCUAAUACCGCAUGACCUCGAAAGAGCAAAGUGGGGGACCUUCGGGCCUCACGCCAUCGGAUGAACCCAGAUGGGAUUAGCUAGUAGGUGGGGUAAUGGCUCACCUAGGCGACGAUCCCUAGCUGGUCUGAGAGGAUGACCAGCCACACUGGAACUGAGACACGGUCCAGACUCCUACGGGAGGCAGCAGUGGGGAAUAUUGCACAAUGGGCGCAAGCCUGAUGCAGCCAUGCCGCGUGUGUGAAGAAGGCCUUCGGGUUGUAAAGCACUUUCAGCGAGGAGGAAGGCAUUGUGGUUAAUAACCGCAGUGAUUGACGUUACUCGCAGAAGAAGCACCGGCUAACUCCGUGCCAGCAGCCGCGGUAAUACGGAGGGUGCAAGCGUUAAUCGGAAUUACUGGGCGUAAAGCGCACGCAGGCGGUUUGUUAAGUCAGAUGUGAAAUCCCCGCGCUUAACGUGGGAACUGCAUUUGAAACUGGC
RNAcentral lists this ribosomal RNA (565 nucleotides) under Yersinia sp. enrichment culture clone EST425_EN10. Its description in RNAcentral is "bacterial SSU rRNA". It matches the Rfam family "Bacterial small subunit ribosomal RNA", at positions 73 to 637 of the family's 1533-position model. The record is from RNAcentral. Lineage: Bacteria; Pseudomonadati; Pseudomonadota; Gammaproteobacteria; Enterobacterales; Yersiniaceae.